UAAAAAUUAGUUAACUUAUAAUAUUAAAAUGUCAUUUUAAAGUAACUAGUGAAUUAGUAUUUUUGA
RNAcentral lists this transfer RNA (66 nucleotides) under Elasmosoma sp. QL-2014. Its description in RNAcentral is "tRNA-Asp". Lineage: Eukaryota; Metazoa; Arthropoda; Insecta; Hymenoptera; Braconidae. The record is from RNAcentral.